RNAcentral lists this ribosomal RNA (403 nucleotides) under uncultured bacterium. Its description in RNAcentral is "bacterial SSU rRNA". It matches the Rfam family "Bacterial small subunit ribosomal RNA", at positions 355 to 774 of the family's 1533-position model. The record is from RNAcentral.
UAGGGAAUAUUGCACAAUGGGCGAAAGCCCGAUGCAGCAACGCCGCGUGGGCGAUGAAGGCCUUCGGGUCGUAAAGCCCUUUUUGAGGGGAUGAGGAAGGACAGUACCCUCAGAAUAAGCCUCGGCUAACUACGUGCCAGCAGCCGCGGUAAAACGUAGGAGGCGAGCGUUAUCCGGAUUUACUGGGCGUAAAGCGCGUGCAGGCGGAUUGGAGAGUUGGAUGUGAAAGCUCCCGGCUUAACUGGGAGAGGUCGUUCAAUACUUCCAGUCUUGAGUGCAGUAGAGGGAAGUGGAAUUCCGGGUGUAGUGGUGAAAUGCGUAGAUAUCCGGAGGAACACCAGUGGCGAAAGCGGCUUCCUGGACUGUAACUGACGCUCAGACGCGUAAGCUAGGGUAGCAAACG